CUACGGGUGGCAGCAGUGGGGAAUAUUGGACAAUGGGCGCAAGCCUGAUCCAGCAAUGCCGCGUGAGUGAAGACGGCCUUAGGGUUGUAAAACUCUUUCGCUAGGGAAGAUAAUGACUGUACCUAGUAAAGAAGUCCCGGCUAACUCCGUGCCAGCAGCCGCGGUAAUACGGAGGGGACGAGCGUUGUUCGGAAUUACUGGGCGUAAAGAGUUCGUAGGCGGACGGACAAGUUAGAGGUGAAAUCCCAGGGCUCAACCCUGGAACUGCCUUUAAAACUGUCAGUCUAGAGACCGGAAGAGGUUAGGGGAAUACCUAGUGUAGAGGUGAAAUUCGUAGAUAUUAGGUGGAACACCAGUGGCGAAGGCGCCUAACUGGUCCGGUACUGACGCUGAGGAACGAAAGCGUGGGGAGCAAACAGGAUUAGAUACCCCGGUAGUC
RNAcentral lists this ribosomal RNA (439 nucleotides) under uncultured bacterium. RNAcentral's name for it is "partial 16S ribosomal RNA". It matches the Rfam family "Bacterial small subunit ribosomal RNA", at positions 339 to 795 of the family's 1533-position model. The record is from RNAcentral.